Molecule: ribosomal RNA, 462 nt
Filed under: uncultured bacterium
Lineage: Bacteria
Description: partial 16S ribosomal RNA
Rfam family: Bacterial small subunit ribosomal RNA
Source: RNAcentral
GACGAACGCUGGCGGCGUGCUUAACACAUGCAAGUCGAGCGGAAAGGCCCUUCGGGGUACUCGAGCGGGGAACGGGCGAGUAACAAGUGAGUAACCUGCCCUAGGCUUUGGGAUAACACCGGGAAACAGGGGCUAAUACUGGAGAUGACCUGGUGCCGGAGGGAGUUGGGGGGCAAGUUUUUUCGGCCUGGGAUGGGCUCGCGGCCUAGCAUCUUGUUGGUGGGGUGUGGGCCUACCAAGACGAUGACGGGUGUCCGGCAUGGGAGGGCGACCAGCCACAAUGGUACUGAGACACGGACCAGACUCCAACGGGAGGCAGCAGUGGGGAAUAUUGCACAAUGGGCGGAAGCCUGAUGCAGCGACGCCGUGUGAGGGAUGCAGGCCUUCGGGUUGUAAACCUCUUUCAGCAGGGACGAAGCGUGAGUGACGGUACCUGCAGAAGAAGCACCGGCUAACUACGUG